AUUCCAGCUCCAAUAGCGUAUAUUAAAGUUGUUGCAGUUAAAAAGCUCGUAGUUGGAUUUCGGAAUGGGUCAGUUGGUCCGCCUCACGGUGUGUUACUGACUGGUCUGUUCUUCUUCGCAAAGACUGUGUAUUCUCUUCAUUGAGUGUGCUCAGGAUUUACGACGUUUACUUUGAAAAAAUUAGAGUGUUCAAAGCAGGCCUACCGCUUGAAUACAUGAGCAUGGAAUAAUGGAAUAGGACUUUGGUCUUAUUUUGUUGGUUUCUAAGACCGAAGUAAUGAUUAAGAGGGACAGUUGGGGGCAUUAGUAUUUCGUUGUCAGAGGUGAAAUUCUUGGAUUUACGAAAGACUAACAACUGCGAAAGCAUUUGCCAAGAAUGUUUUCAUUA
This 388-nucleotide ribosomal RNA is filed under the name Aglaura sp. RNAcentral describes it as "partial small subunit ribosomal RNA". It matches the Rfam family "Eukaryotic small subunit ribosomal RNA", at positions 582 to 975 of the family's 1831-position model. The record is from RNAcentral. Lineage: Eukaryota; Metazoa; Cnidaria; Hydrozoa; Trachymedusae; Rhopalonematidae.